AGCGUAUAUUAAAGUUGUUGCAGUUAAAAAGCUCGUAGUUGAAUUUCGGGAUCUGUCGAUUGGUCGGGCUUCACUGUCCGCACUGACCUGAUGGAUUCCUACCUUCUGAAUAACCAGCAUGCCAUUAAGUUAGUGCGUUGGGGAAGCAGAGCUAUUACCUUGAAAAAAUUAGAGUGCUUAAAGCAGGCUUGUGCUUGAAUAGAUUAGCAUGGAAUAAUAAAAUAGGACGGCAUGGUUCUAUUUUGUUGGUUUCUAGGAUCACCGUAAUGAUUAAUAGGGAUAGUUGGGGGCAUUAGUAUUCAAUUGUCAGAGGUGAAAUUCUUGGAUUUAUUGAAGACUAACUUCUGCGAAAGCAUUUGCCAAGGAUGUUUUCAUUAAUCAAGAACGAAAGUUAGGGGAUCGAAGACGAUCAGAUACCGUCGUAGUCUUAACCAUAAACUAUGCCGACUAGGGAUCGGACGAUGUUAAUUUUUUAAUGACUCGUUC
This 486-nucleotide ribosomal RNA is filed under the name uncultured Glomeromycotina. RNAcentral's name for it is "SSU rRNA". It matches the Rfam family "Eukaryotic small subunit ribosomal RNA", at positions 596 to 1081 of the family's 1831-position model. The record is from RNAcentral. Lineage: Eukaryota; Fungi; Glomeromycota.